RNAcentral lists this ribosomal RNA (250 nucleotides) under uncultured bacterium. RNAcentral's name for it is "partial 16S ribosomal RNA". It matches the Rfam family "Bacterial small subunit ribosomal RNA", at positions 524 to 773 of the family's 1533-position model. The record is from RNAcentral.
GACGGGGGGUCCUAGCGUUGUUCGGAAUCAUUGGGCGUAAAGCGGGCGUAGGUGGCUAUGUAAGUCAGGAGUGAAAGCCCUGGGCUCAACCCAGGAAGUGCUUUUGAAACUGCGUAGCUUGAGUGUGGAAGAGGAUAGUGGAAUUCCUGGUGUAGUGGUGAAAUACGUAGAUAUCAGGAGGAACACCGGCGGCGAAGGCGGCUAUCUGGUCCAACACUGACACUGAGGCCCGAAAGCGUGGGGAUCAAAC